RNAcentral lists this long non-coding RNA (221 nucleotides) under Carica papaya (papaya). RNAcentral's name for it is "long non-coding RNA (CPAP_LNC004044)". The record is from RNAcentral. Lineage: Eukaryota; Viridiplantae; Streptophyta; Magnoliopsida; Brassicales; Caricaceae.
GACCCCUCUCAUGCCUUGGCCCGCGAGCCUCUUCUACUCCAGGAGGAUCUGUCAUAGAGGAAGUACCAGUCGGCAUUAUAGAUCGAAAGAGCAUAUUACUCUGCAACCGAGAAAUUCCCUUUGUAAAGGUCAUAUGGCAGAACCACACACCAAGGGAGGCUACAUAGGAGUUAGAAGCAGACUUUAAAAUCCAAUAUCCCCAACUGUUUGAUUGAGAGUGA